AACCAUUAUCUACCCAGGUGACUAUAUUCUCUGCCAAGAAGUUCCUACCAUUUGAUUCUCUAUCUGUGGAGUGAAUAUCAAAGAGUUACAACAAGACAGCUAUUCACACAGGAGGGGCUUUCAGAAGACUCCUAGCUUGGGCGGACACAAAACUGUAGAAGACAACAGUCAAGACAAGGGUAAAAUGAGCUGGUGAAAACCUAAAGGCAAUGGACUGCUGCUGGGUCUCUGCAUUGCACUGGCCUGGCUCCAGACUUCCUGAAUCUGGCUACAACAAAAGCAACAGUCCCCUAAAAGGAGCCUUUUAGUCAAUGGUUUAAAUUCCUGGUUUUCUGUCCCUCAAGGGACAAUGAAAGGGGCCUGACCUCUUGGUCACCUCAAGAAGGUUUGGAGUUCUCUGGAAAGAGGAGAAAGACAACCUUUUAACAGUUUGAUUGGAUAGCUGGAGUCACUACACAGGCACAGAAAAAAGACUGAAGAGAAAUAAGGUGGAAAAUUUAACUGUAUGGUGAAAUUUCAGGUGAUCUCCUUUUACUCUUUGUAAAAUUCUCUACAAUAAGCAUGUGUUUUAAAAACCACUAAAAAUAAAUAAUGUUAAAAUAUGCA
RNAcentral lists this long non-coding RNA (606 nucleotides) under Bos mutus (wild yak). Its description in RNAcentral is "lncRNA (ENSBMUG00000001385.1)". The record is from RNAcentral. Lineage: Eukaryota; Metazoa; Chordata; Mammalia; Artiodactyla; Bovidae.